Molecule: long non-coding RNA, 1005 nt
Organism: Impatiens glandulifera
Lineage: Eukaryota; Viridiplantae; Streptophyta; Magnoliopsida; Ericales; Balsaminaceae
Exons: 2
Source: RefSeq, a predicted model, not a curated record
UAUAAUAAAAUAUUAAUAUACAAAUAAGAAAUUAUAAACUAUAAAUAAUGUGAUAUAAAUGAAAUAAAAUUUGUAAAUGGGUGAAAGUGAACCAAAAUGUAAAUUUUGGAAAAUUCGUCAACCAAUAUACCAAAAUGAAAUUAACAAUAUAAAUGUUCUAAUGAUAUCAUCAAUUUUGAAUUUGGGCCGUUUCAAUGAAUUUACAUAAAUUUGGGGCAAAAAAUAAAUUUGUUUUUUCUAGUGAUUUUCUAUAUCAGAAAUGUCCUGAACUCUUACUUCCCAAAGUUGUAUAAAAAUAAUUUUUGGAUCAUUGUUUGUUUUUGUCUUUACAAUUUUACUUUUCUUUGCAUGGAAAUGUAAAAAGCAAGAAAUUGUUGCUGCAGUAAAUCAUCCUGUUACAAGAGACAAAGACAUGCUUCUUAAGGAAACUAGAAUCAGAUACACCUCUAAGAUUUCUCUUAUUCUUUUCAAUUGAGAAUAUAAAGAAAAAAAAUACUAGAAAGUGCAGACUUGAACUGUUGUUAACUAGAAAUGAGGUGCAGAAAAUGGAUAAAUCUUUCACGGGUUGUCAUAUAGAGUUAUGGUUUAACAGUUUACAUCAAGAAGAACUAGAAUGCAACAUUAUCAUGCAUGAUUGCACGAGGAAGACAAUUUUAUUGGUGUAUUGUUUGUUUUUCAUUGUUUUCAACUCCUUGGACGUUCAACUUAUUAGUUGAAAAAGCAUACCUGGAGGUUGGAGGUUGGUUGGGAGUGAGUUUCUCUAUGAAAUUGAAACUUUGAAGUAUGGGUUUUGAUGGUUCACUUACGAUACCCAUGACAUGGUUUUUAUUUCCAUCUAAUUAUUCUGUUUAUCUCCCGAUGCUUCUUCUUUCCGGCCCUCCCUCAUUGUAAAAGUUCUCUGUAUAUCUAAAUAUCUGUGCAAUCUGUUUAUCAUAUCAUACACAUUUCAUUAAUGGAGUUGAUAACACUGUUUUUCAGUUCUGCAAAGUUUAAUUACUUGAAGUU